This 1368-nucleotide ribosomal RNA is filed under the name Echinorhynchus gadi. RNAcentral describes it as "bacterial SSU rRNA". The stretch from base 1 to 813 matches the Rfam family "Eukaryotic small subunit ribosomal RNA", at positions 989 to 1831 of the family's 1831-position model. The record is from RNAcentral. Lineage: Eukaryota; Metazoa; Acanthocephala; Palaeacanthocephala; Echinorhynchida; Echinorhynchidae.
GUUAGAGGAUCGAAGACGAUUAGAUACCGUCCUAGUUCUAACUGUAAACUAUGCCGAGCGGGGAUUCGCCAAUGCAAUAUUGCUUGGCGAGCACCCUCCGGGAAACCAAAGUGAUUGGGUUCCGGGGGGAGUAUGGUUGCAAAAUCGAAACUUAAAGGAAUUGACGGAGGGGCACACCAGAAGUGGAGCCUGCGGCUCAAUUUGACUCAACGCACGAAAGCUUACUCGGUCCGAACACCGUGAGGAUUGACAGGUUGAAAGCUCUUUCUUGAUCCGGUGGGUAGCGGUGCAUGGCCGUUCGUAGUUGGUGAAGUGAUUUGUCUGGUUUAUUCCGAUAACGAACGAGACUCUAGCCUACUAAUUAGCGUGAUGAUUGAUCGUCAUUACAAAUGCUUCUUAGAGGGACAGGUGUUGCUUAAACACACGAAGUAGAGCAAUAACAGGUCUGUGAUGCCCUUCGAUGUUCGAGGCUGCACGCGCGCUACAAUGGAGGGCGCAAAGCGCACUACGCAUUUUGAAAAGGAUGCGGAAUCGUAAAUAGCCUUCAUGACUGGGAUCGGAGAUUGAAAUUAUUCUUCGUGAACGAGGAAUUCCUAGUAAGCGCGAAUCAUUACCUCGCGUUGAUUAAGUCCCUGCCCUUUGUACACACCGCCCGUCGCUACUACCGAUUGAAUGAUUUGGUGAGGUCUGUGGAUAGGUGUCACUGGGUUAACCCCCUGUUGUACUUACCUAGAAGCUGACCAAGCUUAAGCGUUUAGAGGAAGUAAAAGUCGUAACAAGGUUUCCGUAGGUGAACCUGCGGAAGGAUCAUUGAAGUCUUGACCAUCAUUUUUGUGAUGGAUACGGCUAUAAAGAAAUUCUGUGAAAAAUUGGCAACCCCAUGUACGGGUAAGGUGGAUUGCUGAUACAAAACUUAAAUGACUUACCUGUCCAGUAAUUAGGGUAUGAUUAAUUGAUAAUGUUUGCGACUUGCAGACUAUUAUACAUACUUUUUCGGUGAAAACUCAAUUCUUGAAAUGAAUUGUCAGUGUACAGUGAAUCACUUGGCUCGCAAAACGAGGAAGGACAUUGCCAUAUGUGAUAAAUUCUGUGAACUGCAGAUCACACGGAACAGACAGUUUUUGAACGCAAAUGACAGUUGUGAGUUUUUGCUCACAACUACACCCGUUUGAGACCUUAAAAAUUUAUAACUCAAUAUAGUUGUAAACAGUUGAUGCAUGAUUAAUGUUGGUGUAUUCUGUUAAUUGGAAUUACCAUAAUGUGUGUCAAACUGAGAUUAUCUAACACUGCCUUGAAAUGCUCUGUGGAAUGAGAAUAAUUGAUGGUAGUUGUUAACUUAUGGUCUAAACUAUUUGGUCUCAAAUCGGG